UUCCCUCAAUCCUAAUCUGAUUAGUUCUAUUCCAUAUAUGAAAGCAAUAUUUUUCUCACUCAAAUUAGAAAAAAAAUCUCCCCAAAUCCUACUAGGAUUUUAAGUCAUAAUUCUAACAGGAAGAUACAAAAGUCCGGAAGAAUACACUUGUUUUAUUUACAUUGAUGGUGGUCUCAGCCCAAGAUAUCCCUGUGUUUAAUGCUGUUUUGAAGACAGUAGUGAUAGGCAUUCCACGCUUCAGCAAACCACCAAUCUGAAAAUAAGAGCCUCUGUCUGAAAAAACAUGUUAGGAGCACUUUAUAAUUGCCAAAUAUUUGGAAACAUUAAGCUAAAAUUCUGUAGAUUUCAAUAUGUAGCAAGCUUAAUGGACAAUAUAAUAUGUUGACAACGCAUACCAUUCCAAAGAACCCCAGAUGUAUAUAAUAUCAAUUCCAUAUGCAUUGGUUGACGUUGGAAAACAAGAGUAUAAUAUCAGAUAUUUGUAUCAAAUGAGAAUGUAAUCAAACUACAAAAGCUACAUAGUUAGCCACAAAUUAAGUACAAUGUUAUUUUUCAUGUUCUUUGAUGAUGAUGUUAUUGGUGCAUAAUUUGAAGAUCCCAUCUUGACCUCCACAAGGAUAAGAAGGAUAAUGUUACUAGUUCCAAUACACUCCCUUCUACUAUUUUCUUAUCUUAAAGCUACUUAUAUUCUCAUAGCUUUUCCUUACCACAAUCACUAUCACAACUAGCAUGGGAACCAAGUGUACUUCAAUACAGCAAACAGAUAACAGCAUAAAAUUACGAACUUGUACAACUAUAUAUGUCAUUAUGGACAGUAUUCAUUAAAAUUUGAGCAGUAACAUGAGUACUUCCAGACAGAAAGGUAGCACAACAGAGGCACAUACAUAAAACCUUUAUCACACAUGGUUAUCACCAAAAAUGAAGAAUGGGAGGGUGAAAAAUAUGUUCCUUAAUGGAUAUUCAUGCACUUAAUUUC
This 976-nucleotide unclassified non-coding RNA is filed under the name Hevea brasiliensis (rubber tree). The record is from RNAcentral. Lineage: Eukaryota; Viridiplantae; Streptophyta; Magnoliopsida; Malpighiales; Euphorbiaceae.